Molecule: transfer RNA, 80 nt
Filed under: Actinomycetes bacterium
Lineage: Bacteria; Bacillati; Actinomycetota; Actinomycetes
Description: Actinobacteria bacterium tRNA-Arg
Source: RNAcentral
AUCCCCGUCGAGUAGUCGGCAGGGCUCGACGGCGUUUCCUAAACGUGGUGUCGCAGGUUCGAUUCCUGCCGGGGGCGCCC